Hypanus sabinus (Atlantic stingray) is the source of this 408-nucleotide long non-coding RNA. RefSeq lists it as uncharacterized. The transcript has 3 exons. NCBI's taxonomy places the organism in Eukaryota, Metazoa, Chordata, Chondrichthyes, Myliobatiformes, Dasyatidae. The record is from RefSeq and is a predicted model, not a curated record.
GGCGUUUUCAAAAGUGAGUGGGAAAUGAAAAUCUCCCGAUCGCAGCUAUCAAGUGGUGACUAAGAAUUACUGCAUGAUGUUAGGCCGUGUUCCAGCUUUUACGACCAGGCACACCAGCCAUGAAACUGUCACUGAUGCAGCACUUCAUAGGAAUUGUAAAAGAACCAAAGGUACUUAGAAGGCUGGUGAAGAUGAAAAGAUACCUGCAUGCAGCAUGAUAAUUGAAAAUUGCAAGUGAGCACUGUCUGAGAAAAUGGACAACAUCGGCCUUCGUGCAGUCAUCUGCUACUUUGGUCUCAAGGGCUUAUCACCCAAGGAGGUCCACAAGGACAUGGCGGCAACACAAGGAGAGGGUGAAAAAUAAAUGUGCUAGGUUUUCUAAAAUUGACUCUUUCUAUCUUAGGCCAC